This 406-nucleotide ribosomal RNA is filed under the name uncultured bacterium. Its description in RNAcentral is "partial 16S ribosomal RNA". It matches the Rfam family "Bacterial small subunit ribosomal RNA", at positions 29 to 526 of the family's 1533-position model. The record is from RNAcentral.
AUUGAACGCUGGCGGCAGGCCUAACACAUGCAAGUCGAACGAGUGGCGGACGGGUGAGUAAUGUAUGGGAAACUGCCCGAUGGAGGGGGCUAACUACUGGAAAAGGUGGCUAAUACCGCAUACCAUCGGAUCGGCCCAAAUGGGAUUAGCUAGUAGGUGGGGUAAAGGCUCACCUAGGCGACGAUCCCUAGCUGGUCUGAGAGGAGGACCAGCCACACUGGAACUGAGACACGGGCCAGACUCCUACGGGAGGCAGCAGUGGGGAAUCUUGGACAAUGGGCGCAAGCCUGAUGCAGCCAUGCCGCGUGUAUGAAGAAGGCCUUCGGGUUGUAAAGUACUUUCAGCGGGGAGGCGGUACCCGCAGAAGAAGCACCGGCUAACUCCGUGCCAGCAGCCGCGGUAAUAC